This 253-nucleotide ribosomal RNA is filed under the name uncultured bacterium. Its description in RNAcentral is "partial 16S ribosomal RNA". It matches the Rfam family "Bacterial small subunit ribosomal RNA", at positions 524 to 776 of the family's 1533-position model. The record is from RNAcentral.
UACGGAGGGUGCAAGCGUUACUCGGAAUCACUGGGCGUAAAGGGCGCGUAGGCGGCCUAGCAAGUCUGGUGUGAAAGCCCAGGGCUCAACCCUGGAAGGGCACUGGAAACUGUUAGGCUUGAGUUCCGGAGAGGAGGGGGGAAUUCCCGGUGUAGCGGUGAAAUGCGUAGAUAUCGGGAGGAAUACCGGUGGCGAAGGCGUCCCUCUGGACGGAAAGUGACGUUGAGGCGCGAAAGCGUGGGGAGCAAACAGG